This is an RNA transcript of Saccostrea echinata, 2413 nucleotides long. RefSeq lists it as uncharacterized. NCBI's taxonomy places the organism in Eukaryota, Metazoa, Mollusca, Bivalvia, Ostreida, Ostreidae. The transcript has 12 exons. The record is from RefSeq and is a predicted model, not a curated record.
AGGUAUAUCUACGAAAGGCCGGGUUUGACGUCAAAAUGUAAAUACUCUGUAUAUGCAUUCAUUCACAUUCUGAAAAAAAGGAACCAAAUCGCUAACACCUCUCGGAUUAAGACCGAUUAUUACAGCACAGCGGUCGAUAAAUUUGUGUGCAUUUUGUAUGUUGACCUCUUAUUAAGGAGAAAUGGCGAGAUUACGAGAAGGCAAGUUAUACAAACUUCUCAAAGAAUCUGACGAUGCAGAUGAAGUGUUUGAUGCUUGUUACAACUAUGCUUACAGUGGCAAGGACCUUAACGCACGAGAUGAAGAGACGGGGGAGAGUUUUAUGCACCUCCUGGCGGAGGAGAUCCGCCACUUCACGAGCGCCCGUGGGGUGGGGAUCAUAUAUUUGAUGGCGUGUAAAGGCAUGGAUCUAGAUAUUGCUGAUAUUAAUGGGGACACGUUUCUCCACAAGAUUUGUCGGAAACCACAUACCCAUCGUGUACUGGUCUCUGUUAUUCGGAGUGGGGCGGAUCCAUUAAUUCGCAAUAAGAAGAGCCAGACACCAGCCGAUGUUUUACUGGAGGAGAAACCCGAGGGAUGGGAGGAGACUCUUCAUUACUACAACAUGUUCAAACCUGGUUUGUACCGCGCUCUUCAAGAAGACAACCCAGACAGAGAGCUGAUACGUCGUCUGUUGAAGUUUUGGUGCCGUGUAACUGUGGUCAAGAAUCGCCAGACAAUCCACCUUAAGUCCCGACUCUUAGAGACAGCUUAUGGGCGGAAUCUCGUAGAGCUCAUAGAAGAGUACGAAAACACAAACGAAUUCAUCCCCGCCUUGCUUGAGUGUGAGGCUAAGCUAAUUAGACAGUGGAUUAAAGAUCAAAUUAUAGUAAACAUCAACGUCAACACCAAAGACUACAGUUACCAGUUUGCGGCCCCUAAUACACCAAUAGCCCCACGCCCGCUCCUGGUGGCCGUUUGGGAGACACGAUGUUUGGAGACAGUCGACAUAAUGAUGGAGCUCGGUGCCGACACUAGUGUACUCUUUUCAUCAGAACCAGAUAAAGAAAAACCUAAGCCUCUCUUUUUCCACGUUCUAGGUGGCCCUUUCAAACCAUCAGAUGAAAUUGCCUACCGGAUAUUACGUGGCUCUAAUCUCAACGUCAGGGAUCUCAAUGGACGAACAGUUUUGUUUGAAGCCAUUUCACAAGACUCAUCAGAAAUAAUGAUUAAUUUUCUACUCAGUCAAGGAAUCCGGAUAGGAUUGCGCGAUAAACAAGGAUUUACAGCAUAUGAUAUUGCCAAGAAAGAGAAAAAACUACAUUACUGUAAACUUUUAGAUAAUCACGUGAUCAGCCUCGUUCGGGAUUGUGACAUGUCACGUGUUGAGGAUAUGAUUCUACUGGGAUAUGACCGAGUUCUGAAAGCUAAGGAUAAGGAUGGGGUGACGGCCCUUGGGAUAGCAAGAAAUAGUGAAUCUACACAACUGAGAGAAACACUGAACAAAUUUAAAAAUGUUCAGGAACACAUUUGCAAAUUAUUCCAAACUACACACGAAGGUGAUCUACAGCAAUUAAAGAAUUUAUUGGGAAGGAAGUAUUAUUGUGCUCAGGAUAUUUGUGGGAGAAAUGUCCUUCAUAUUGCUGUUAUGCAUCAGUAUAAGUCAAUAGUAGAAUACCUGUCAACUCACUAUCCUCAGCUUCUCAACAUGCAGGAUAAUCUAGGACGAACGCCGUUACACUAUGCAGAAAUCUUUCUGGAAGGCAAUGACAUCAUAGAUUUCAUGAUUGAAAAGGGAGCAUCAGUUGAUAUCAAGGACGUGCAAGAACGUACAAGCGUUGACUAUCAAUGUGAUGUUUGCGGGCAGAGAACGUACUUAGCGUUAAAGAAGGAGAUCCAGGAAUUCAGACUUGAUGUGUUCCUGGCACAAACCAAUUUCGAAAGGGCAUUUAUGGAGGCUGUAAAGAAAAACGACUUGCCCAAGAUUAAGGACCUGGUUAAAGGCGUGUUGAUGUAUGGAAACCUAAACCGCUACAGUCAUGUGCUCUUUGACUGUGUGGACAAAGGUCAAGAGGAUAUAGCUGUGUACUUGAUUGAGCAGGGCAUGGACACACGUAUCUACAAACAGUAUCAAGCAUGCAUAGACAAUGAUCCCGAUUGUGCUGUUGGAGAAUGCAGUCACACUGUGACGUCAUUUAAAGAGAGGGUAAUCAACAACGGUAACAACAGGAUACUGAAUGCAAUGUCAGAAAGAAACAGCAAAGCUGAACAGUUGCCAGGGAUCAUACUUGGCUACUGCUAAAGGUGGAAAUAUAACACACAGAGGGUUUUUCUAUGUAUAUUCUGUCAACAACUAUAGGUUGCGAAGCAGAGAACGUUUUGCCCGGAUGUGCAGUCAUUCAAUGUUUUCGGAUUGCUGUGACACACAUUAGAG